UACGGAGGAUCCGAGCGUUAUCCGGAUUUAUUGGGUUUAAAGGGUGCGCAGGCGGGAGAUUAAGUCGGCGGUGAAAUUUUGCAGCUCAACUGUAAAAGUGCCUUCGAAACUGGUUUCCUUGAGUGUAGAUGAAGUAGGCGGAAUUUGUGGUGUAGCGGUGAAAGGCAUAGAUAUCACGAGGAACUCCGAUUGCGCAGGCAGCUUACUAAACUACUACUGACGCUCAGGCACGAAGGCGUGGGGAUCAAACAGGAUUAGAUACCCCUGUAGU
RNAcentral lists this ribosomal RNA (271 nucleotides) under uncultured prokaryote. RNAcentral describes it as "partial 16S ribosomal RNA". It matches the Rfam family "Bacterial small subunit ribosomal RNA", at positions 524 to 794 of the family's 1533-position model. The record is from RNAcentral.